GCCCGAGUGACGGAAUGGUAGACGUAGCGGAUUCAAAAUCCGCCGCCGCAAGGCAUGUCGGUUCGAGUCCGACCUCGGGUA
RNAcentral lists this transfer RNA (81 nucleotides) under Paracoccus sulfuroxidans. It matches the Rfam family "tRNA". From Rfam's summary of the family: Transfer RNA (tRNA) molecules are approximately 80 nucleotides in length. Their secondary structure includes four short double-helical elements and three loops (D, anti-codon, and T loops). RNAcentral also lists the same sequence under 3 other names. The record is from Rfam by way of RNAcentral. Lineage: Bacteria; Pseudomonadati; Pseudomonadota; Alphaproteobacteria; Rhodobacterales; Paracoccaceae.